GAUGAACGCUGGCGGCGUGCUUAACACAUGCAAGUCGAACGAACCUUCGGGUUAGUGGCGGACGGGUGAGUAACGCGUGAGAAUCUGCCCUCAGGAGGGGGAUAACGGCUGGAAACGGCCGCUAAUACCCCAUAUACCGAGAGGUGAAAUGAAUUUCGCCUGAGGAUGAGCUCGCGUCUGAUUAGCUUGUUGGUGGGGUAAUGGCCUACCAAGGCGACGAUCAGUAGCUGGUCUGAGAGGAUGAUCAGCCACACUGGGACUGAGACACGGCCCAGACUCCUACGGGAGGCAGCAGUGGGGAAUUUUCCGCAAUGGGCGAAAGCCUGACGGAGCAACGCCGCGUGAGGGAUGAAGGCCUCUGGGCUGUAAACCUCUUUUAUCAAGGAAGAAGAUCUGACGGUACUUGAUGAAUAAGCCACGGCUAAUUCCGUG
This 432-nucleotide ribosomal RNA is filed under the name uncultured bacterium. RNAcentral's name for it is "bacterial SSU rRNA". It matches the Rfam family "Bacterial small subunit ribosomal RNA", at positions 28 to 507 of the family's 1533-position model. The record is from RNAcentral.